This 494-nucleotide ribosomal RNA is filed under the name uncultured bacterium. RNAcentral describes it as "partial 16S ribosomal RNA". It matches the Rfam family "Bacterial small subunit ribosomal RNA", at positions 28 to 507 of the family's 1533-position model. The record is from RNAcentral.
GACGAACGCUGGCGGCGCGCUUAACACAUGCAAGUCGAACGGAAAGGCCUGCUUUCCCUUGUGGAUUGCGGGUACUCGAGUGGCGAACGGGUGAGUAACACGUGAGUGAUCUGCCCCCAACUUGGGUAUAAGCCUGGGAAACUGGGUCUAAUUCCCGAUAGGACUGCAGGGUGGUGCCUGUGGUGGAAAACGAUUUUCUAGUGGUUGGGGAUGAGCUCGCGGCCUAUCAGCUUGUUGGUGGGGUAAUGGCCUACCAAGGCGGCGACGGGUAGCCGGCCUGAGAGGGUGGACGGCCACAUUGAGACUGAGAUACGGCCCAGACGCCUACGGGAGGCAGCAGUGGGGAAUAUUGCACAAUGGGCGGAAGCCUGAUGCAGCGACGCCGCGUGGGGGAUGACGGCCUUCGGGUUGUAAACUCCUUUCGACCGCGAGGAAGCCACCUGGUUGGAAGGGUGGUGACGGUAGUGGUAGAAGAAGCACCGGCUAACUACGUG